AUGCAGUACGGCGGGGACUGGGACGGCUCCAACGUCCAUAUGGACCACAUCGAGUUCCUCCGCAAGACGCGGCGGUUGCCGGCGCGGACCAGGUGCGGGUCCGUCUCGCGCCUGCGAAGGAGAUCACGCCGGAGCGGAGGAAGGCGAGCGGGUAGUCUUCCGCUCGCAUUUCCUGCGCGGCGGCGGCUUGCCGGCGAGCGCUUUCUUCCGCUCCUUUCUUUACUUCUAUCAACUCCAGCCGCACCACCUCACCCCGAACACGGUGGUGCUGCUGUCCGCCUUCGUCACCUUGUGCGAAGGCUACCUUGGCGUUCUCCCUACCCUCGAGCUCUGGGGGAGUUCUUCCAAUCUAAGCUGGGCACCCGCAUGCAGGGCGUGCCGGUCCAGAGCGGCGCCUUCAUCGCGAUGCGGAGGCCGGCGGCCGACAACCCCUUCCCCGUCAUCACGUUAAUCCAGUCGGUGAAGCGUUGA
RNAcentral lists this ribosomal RNA (471 nucleotides) under Triticum aestivum (bread wheat). RNAcentral describes it as "partial small subunit ribosomal RNA". The record is from RNAcentral. Lineage: Eukaryota; Viridiplantae; Streptophyta; Magnoliopsida; Poales; Poaceae.